Molecule: ribosomal RNA, 468 nt
Filed under: uncultured bacterium
Lineage: Bacteria
Description: partial 16S ribosomal RNA
Rfam family: Bacterial small subunit ribosomal RNA
Source: RNAcentral
GACGAACGCUGGCGGCGUGCUUAACACAUGCAAGUCGAACGGAAAGGCCCUGCUUUUGUGGGGUGCUCGAGUGGCGAACGGGUGAGUAACACGUGAGUAACCUGCCCUUGACUUUGGGAUAACUUCAGGAAACUGGGGCUAAUACCGGAUAGGAGCUCCUGCUGCAUGGUGGGGGUUGGAAAGUUUCGGCGGUUGGGGAUGGACUCGCGGCUUAUCAGCUUGUUGGUGGGGUAGUGGCUUACCAAGGCGUUGACGGGUAGCCGGCCUGAGAGGGUGACCGGACACAUUGGGACUGAGAUACGGCCCAGACUCCUACGGGAAGGAGCAGUGGGGAAUAUGGCACAAUGGGCGGAAGCCUGAUGCAGCACCGCCGCGUGCGGGAUAACGGCCUUCGGGUUGUAAACCGCUUUCGCCUGUGACGAAGCGUGAGUGACGGUAAUGGGUAAAGAAGCACCGGCUAACUACGUG